UCUAGCUUCAAAUUUCAAUAUCCUGCAACCUAAAAUUCAACUCCAACCUAAAACCCCCAAAUUCAACUCGCCUCCUUUUGCAAUUCUUAAAUUCAAAUCGCCUCCUUUUGCGAUUCUCAAACUCAUCUCUCUCUCACACCAAAAUGUGGUGGAAUGUCCAUGGAUGAAGAAGCUAUUAGCCUUGAAAUUGCCUUCGUUGCUAGAUUUGUCUGGUUCCCGAUUCAGUUUGAGGUCAUGGUAGAAACCAUAGAUGAGAAAACCAGCAAGCACAAGUGUGAAUUGGAGUUACCUUGAUUAAGCGCAUUAGGGAAGGAAUCGACGCAUUUAGUUGGAGCAAGAACAAUCAAUCCAGAUACUCAAACGUCAUUAUUGCAACUAGAAUCUACCACUCAACAACCUAAGAAAAAAGAGAAGAGCACCAAAGUAUAAGAAGCGAGAAGUGCGCAACCAGGAAAGGUUGAUGAUAUGCCUCAAGAGGCAUUAGAUCGGUUGCAUUAAGGUAUGGAAACCUCACUAGUUUGGUUCUAAUUAGUUUUGGUUAAGACUAGUACAUGCUUUUUAAGGUGAAGUAGAUUGGUCAUGAGUUAGAGAACAGAAGCUUCAGUUAAUCAUGGACAAGAUUGGGUUGACGUAAAAGAGGUAAGUUUUAAUUUUGGA
Spinacia oleracea (spinach) is the source of this 657-nucleotide long non-coding RNA. RefSeq lists it as uncharacterized. The transcript is spliced from 3 exons. NCBI's taxonomy places the organism in Eukaryota, Viridiplantae, Streptophyta, Magnoliopsida, Caryophyllales, Amaranthaceae. The record is from RefSeq and is a predicted model, not a curated record.